ACGUAAGUUCCUCCGCCCAAUGCAGAGAAGGAGACCCCAUAUUGGAGGAGAUUCACGUAAUAUGUCCAACCACACAGCUGACUAUAUGCAUCUAAGAUAGUUUUGAAGGUCGUAACAUUGUUUGAAGGUCGUAACAUCUAAGAUAAUUAUAGCAUAUCUGUAGCAUAUCUUGCAUGUGAAAUUGGUGGAUAAAUUGAAGUAAUUGUUCUUGCAAUUAUAUUAAGCAAUGGCAGGAAGUGUCCCAAAUUGAAGUAAUUAUUCUUGCAGUUAUAUUAAGCAAGGUAGUGCAGUGGCGUUUGCAUUGGAACUCCAUCAACCUACUUUAGGCCACAACAACAUCAGGCAAAAGCACCAAUUGAUGACUUGUUGAAGCGCGCUGCUGAAUUAAAGAUAGAAGACAACGUGGAGAUAUCACUUAAGUUAACUAUCGGAAAGGGAAAAGGGAAAGCAUACGGAGGACGAUGGGAAGGGAAAGCAUAUGGAGUAGCAUUUGAACUUAUGUCUAUGUAGUCCUUAUGUUUGUGUUUGUCAAUGAGUCGCAUUCGAUCUUAUGGUUAUGUAGUACAGAGUAGCAUUCGAACUUCUGUUUAUGUAGUACUUAUGUUUGGGAAGAACUCAUUAUUUGUCAACUUUUUACUUUGGUUUACUGUCCAGGAAGAUUUAUAAAUGAAUUCUAAUGAGUUUAUGUUGAUGUAACUUAUGUUUAUGUGACUUGUUUGUGAAGUGGAAAAAGGUCUAGACAUGGCAUUUUUCCUUCAAUCCCAG
Molecule: long non-coding RNA, 765 nt
Filed under: Olea europaea subsp. europaea
Lineage: Eukaryota; Viridiplantae; Streptophyta; Magnoliopsida; Lamiales; Oleaceae
Source: RNAcentral